GGGGAUGUAUAGCUUAGACGCAACAGCUCUUUAACAACUGCAGACCAUCUUUGAUCAGAAAGAUGUUAAACAAGAUCAAACAAAUAACUGUCAAAUCUUUAGGCAGCAAGGUUGUUGCCGCUAUGGAUAGGGUUUCUAACCUUAUUUUUGGCGCUCCAGCCCCCGCUUUCGCGUAAGCGAAUCGGCAUCUACUAGCUCUUUCUCACUGAUGAAGGCUUUUAGGUGACAACCCAGUCAGUGUGACGGCUUAACAUUUCAUGCUCUGUUAAGUUUAAGUCUUAAGCAUGGCUGCAGAAAAACAGUUUGUUUAUUAACUGUUUCUGCUUGAGCAAAAAUAAACUAUGUCUGUAGAAGUUGUUUUCUAGUUAGUUGUCGGACAGGGGGUCACUCCCCCUCAUCUCCACAU
Molecule: transfer-messenger RNA, 406 nt
Filed under: Minisyncoccota bacterium
Lineage: Bacteria; Bacillati; Minisyncoccota
Rfam family: transfer-messenger RNA
About the family: Bacterial tmRNA, also known as 10Sa RNA or SsrA, is named for its dual tRNA and mRNA-like properties. Its role is to liberate the mRNA from a stalled ribosome. To accomplish this part of the tmRNA is used as a reading frame that ends in a translation stop signal.
Source: RNAcentral